AUGAUUAUCUCCAAGCCACCACUCCGCCCCUGUUUCCACUCCCCCUCCCUCGCCGCCGGCCCGCUCCGCCGCCACCGCCACCCCCACCCCCACCUCGCCAACAAGCCCUUCUCCGUCGCCGUCGCCGUCGCGGCCUCCCCGUCCGACCUCCUCGCCAGCGUCCAGUCCGUGGCGUCCGCCGCGUCGGUCCUCGCCUUCCGCCUCGGCGCCGUCGAGUACGCGCUCCGGGCCAUCCCGCUCGGCGGCUACGUCGGCUUCCCCGACGACGACCCCGAGUCCGGCUUCGCGCCCGACGACCCCGACCUCCUCCGCAACCGCCCCGUCCCGGACCGCCUCCUCGUCGUCUCCGCGGGGGUCAUCGCCAACCUCAUCUUCGCCUUCCUCAUCAUCUACGCCCAGGCGGUCACCGUCGGCGUCCCCGUCCAGGCGCUGCUCUCCGGCGUCCUCGUCCCCGACGUCGUGCCCGGCUCCGCCGCCGCGCGCUCCGGGCUGCUCGCCGGCGAUGUCAUCCUCGCCGUCCCCGGCGCCGCGCCGGACCCGUCCGUGCCGGCCCUGGUCGACCUCAUCAAAUCCAGCCCCAACAAGAAGGUCCUCCUCAAGGUGUCAAGAGCCGGGCCUGCGGCCGGGGACAAGCAGCAGUUCCUCGACCUCACCGUCGUGCCGGACACGAGCGUCGACGGGACGGGGCGCAUCGGCGUGCAGCUCUCGCCCAACUACCGGGCCACGCGCGUGCACCCAAGGAACGCGUCCGAGGCCACCGUCCUCGCCGUGCGCGAGUUCAGGGCGCUGGGCGGGGCGGUGCUCGACGGGCUCCGGCAGACGUUCCUCAACUUCUCGCAGACGGCGGAGAAGGUGUCGGGCCCGGUGGCCAUAAUCGCCGUCGGCGCGGAGGUGGCGAGGUCGAGCGCCGACGGGCUGUUCCAGUUCGCGGCGAUCAUCAACCUCAACCUCGCGGCGAUCAACCUGCUGCCGCUGCCGGCGUUGGACGGCGGGACGCUGGCGCUGAUCCUUCUGGAGGCGGCCCGCGGCGGGCAGAAGAUCCCACGUGAGAUCGAGCGGAGGAUAAUGUCGUCGGGGAUAUUGCUGGUGCUCAUGGUCAGCAUGUUCCUCAUUGUGCGCGACACGCUCAACCUAGACUUCAUCAAACAGAAUAUGUAG
This 1158-nucleotide ribosomal RNA is filed under the name Triticum aestivum (bread wheat). RNAcentral's name for it is "partial small subunit ribosomal RNA". Lineage: Eukaryota; Viridiplantae; Streptophyta; Magnoliopsida; Poales; Poaceae. The record is from RNAcentral.